Molecule: regulatory RNA element, 81 nt
Organism: Legionella israelensis
Lineage: Bacteria; Pseudomonadati; Pseudomonadota; Gammaproteobacteria; Legionellales; Legionellaceae
Rfam family: RAGATH-32 RNA
About the family: Legionellales (_-Proteobacteria). Nearby to self-cleaving ribozyme genes
Source: Rfam
GUGGCUGGACGUACAGUCGGGAAACCCUUCAUGGAUUUUCUACCAACCGGUAGAACAAAUGUUUCUUAGCAUUUGCAGUCA